CAACCCCGACACCUGCACCAACGCCUGCACCUACUCCUGCACCAACCCCCACUCCGACGCCUACUCCUACGCCGACACCGACCCCAGCACCAACACCUGCACCAACCCCCACUCCGACGCCUACUCCUACGCCGACACCGACCCCAGCACCAACACCUGUACCGACCCCUACUCCCACACCGGCUCCAACCCCAGCGCCAACUCCGACCCCAACCCCGACUCCUGCACCGACCCCUACUCCGACACCUACACCAACACCUGCACCUACUCCUGCACCAACCCCCGCUCCGACGCCUGCUCCUACGCCGACACCGACCCCAGCACCAACACCUGUACCGACCCCUACUCCCACUCCGGCUCCCACGCCGGCUCCGACCCCUGCACCAACACCGACUCCUGCACCGACCCCUACUCCGACACCUGCACCAACGCCUGCACCUACUCCUUCACCAACCCCCGCUCCGACACCUGCUCCUACGCCGACACCAACCCCAACACCAACACCUGCACCGACCCCUACUCCCACGCCGGCUCCGACCCCUGCACCGACACCGGCUCCUGCUCCCACACCUACACCAACGCCUGCUCCCACACCUGUUCCACAGCCGCCCACAAAGACACCUCCACCGCCGCCCAAAAAGACACCGCCACCGCCGCCCAAAAAGACACCGCCACCCACAAAGACACCUCCACCGCCGCCCAAAAAGACACCGCCGCCCACAAAGACACCUCCACCGCCGCCCAAAAAGACACCUCCACCGCCGCCAUCCUGCCCUACCGACUUCAAAAACAUAUUUGAUUUUAAAAUAGCCAUUUUUAAGUACGCUGAACAAGGCAUUCUUCUUGUGCCUGUCCCUAAUAGCCUGCAGAUCAUCAUUGGAAAGCUCCCUGUCCCACCCUUCGUCAAAGCAAGGUGUUUGUGCUAUGGCCGCACCCUUUUCGGGAUCCUCAUCGGCGACAUAACAUGCGCGAGGGGAUGAACAUGAGCGUGCAUGGAUAUGCUCCGAUCCUUUGCGCAGCAUAAAUUAAAUAAUGUGCACCAGCUGCGCAGCUAUCUACUCGUGCAUGCUACUCGAUCUAUAUUAUAUGUGCAUGCAAGUGUCAUCUGCAUGCGUGCUGCGGGCGUUAACUGGAGUUGACCAGCUGCUUCCGUAUUGUGUGACAAGGUUUAUUGUUGUAUGUGUGCUCAAAUACAAAAACAAAAUAUAUAUUGCUUACUGGAAACGUAUUGUAUGCUCUAAUAUUCGACAUCAAGUAGUGACUUGUGAGCUUUCUGAAUUUUCGCAGCAAGUAACUAACUAAACCUACUGAAACUUUAUGCAUCAAGUACUGACUUCCGAUAUUUGUGAUUUUUUGCAUCAAGUAACAUGCAAAUGAUUGUUUCAAGGAAAAAAAGUAACAUGCAAAUGACUACUGUAUCUACAUACAACAGUACCUUUCUGAAUUGCUCAGAAAAUCCGCGCCUUCAAAAGACAAGAAACACAAAAAUGCUCUCCGGCGGAAUUAGCAACUCCUCCUCCAUGUCCCAUAACUUCAAUCAUAGGCCGCUCCCGUUUCGUGGCUACUUCCCGCUCGCUCGCUGGCCGCGGCGGCCACAGCCCGGUUGGUCAUUCAUCAUGGACCCAUAACCUCCUCUAUUUAGCGAACCUGGUGGGUGGAUGAAUUGCUGGGCCGACGUGUCGGCCCAGGGCCCAAACAACGAAGAAACUGGCAUUUUCGCAACACGCACACAACCCACAACACGCACCGAGCGUGCUGCUGUUCUUUGGCAUGUUGCGUGAGAAGAAUAUUAGAUCCAAUUACAGUCCGUUGCAAACGGGUCGAGAUACCUUAAGAUAAAUUAAGCUUCUACAAACUUUUACAAAAAUUUAAAUAUAGGAACAAGACUAAUUAUUAUAUGUGCAUACAACCUCAAAGGUUCAAAUAUUUGCAACCUAGUUCUAACCCUAUAUACUAACAUGCUAAUUUUAGAAAUUGAUAUUGAGUAAAGUAAAAAGAGAGAAUUAGAACACUGAUUUUUUCCCUGAGGUAUUGAAGAAUCAGCACUUUCCACUAGUUCUCUUUGGAACAUCGAUCCCUUACACUCCCCUUGAUCUCUGCAAGGAUCAAGUGCUUCUAUUAGUUGUAAUCCCUUCCCACUCUGAACCGGCCUAUUCCAAUACCGAGCACAACAUUGGCUCUCUUACAAGACUUCUCCUUAGAGCUAAAAAAACCGCCACCAAACUGUCUGUCUAGGUGAUGUCGAUCACCAAAAGUAAGAAGUAAAGAAUCUCACAUAUAUCUUUUGGCUUUAUAUUAGAGAAAAACAUUCUAGAAUGAUUUUGUGCUCAAGAAGAUCAAAGUCUGCAUAAAUCUCUACACUUGACUUUGCCCAUAAUUUAGUUAGCAUAGGACUGUUCCUAGAAGACUCUUGAUUCUUCUUCACAACUGGUUCCCUAAACCAAAAAAAAUCCCCGUAAUCGUGCGGCAACAUCGCGCGUUAGUUUCUUGUGUGUUUUGGAUUUUGUUUGAACUUCAAUUAUUUAGAAUUUAUAAAGUAAAAAAAUAUCCAAUAUAUUUUAGUUUUUAAAUAUUUUCAAAAUCAACAUUCGAAUGUACCACUUCACUAUAUUUAUAUAGUCAACAAUUUAGAUAUACUGUGUUGAACUAUAUUUUAAUAAAUAUUAACUCUAGCAGUUUGAAAUAUUGACUACAUUAAUUUGAUAUUUUAAACAUACUAGGUAUCCAAUAUUUGGCAAAAAAAAUAAUGAAUCAUCGACAUAUUUGACACAGACUAAAAAAAUAAAACAAAAGAAAGAAAGCCAUCGGCGACAGUUUUUGCAUGCAUAUAUCAGCACCCGUGUUUGGAUCAUUCUGCAGCUAACAAACGGCCUCUCUGACACGCUUGCAAAAACAAUAAGCAGCUGGCGGUUUCCACAGUAUUGGACCGGGUUUUCCACAUUAUUGGAUCGGGAUUGUUAACAACGUGCGUGCGUGCAUGUUCAUCGUCAUCGCGUAUUGGUGAAGUACGUACAUGUAAGUGUGUUUGGUUGCUUGUAUCAUUUAAUUCAUAUAUGGAAUAGUUCAAAAUAAUAAUGAUCCUUUUUAUUUGGUUGGGUGAAUUGUACCAUCCCAUCUAGGAUGAAGCUGUAGGGGGUUGAAGCUUGUGCGACAGUUGAUAUGUCCUAGGGAUAGUACACAUGGCUACAGAUGCAGUCGGGCCAGAUCAAGUGGAAUAGAAACCAGAAAGCUUAUGUGAAGGACACCACUUCGAUCUGUCCUGGUGCUAGGAGAUAGCACACAUGGUGACGAAUGGGACCAGUACAAGAUCAGGCGGAUGAAGGUCAGAGCUUGCUCGGCAGACUCACUUCAGCCUCGUGGGCGGAGCCUGGACAAGAUGACUUGGGUGGGCAUGAGAAUAGGCUUGGAUGGCUCUAAAAUAUUUUUAGAAAUUUUACUAGAGUUUUUGGAAGUGAAAUAAAUGAAAAAACAAUUGUUGGUGUACACUAAAUAGGACUUUUCCACUAUGUAGGAGGAUGAUAAUUUGGAAAAGGAUCUAUAUGAAGUGAAAAAUGGAAAAGGAGGGCAUGGAUAGGUUUGGAAUUGUCCCUAGUAUUUUUGGUGAAUUUUGGUGAAUUUUUAAGAAUUAAGUGAGGGCUUGAGGUGAAAGGUUGCGUGCACUUACCGACUGCACAUAGCAUUUUCAAGCUGGCUGAUGCAAGGGGGUGGGGCGCCCGGUGCGCUGUUCCGUACACCGCGCUCAUGGUCCUUCGUGGAUCGGGGUGGCUUUGGUUGGCGGUCUUGGUGCACUGGGUUCAGGAAGGGAGGGCGUGGUUGGUGGGACGGAGGGGCGGACGGAGGGGCGACGGCAGCGGAUGGCCGCAUACCGCUUCGACACCAAGGCCAGGCGGUGCCGCCGCAGCCGCCAUGGGAGCUACCGUGCGGGGCGCCGGAGCUCGCCGGGAAGGCGAUCCCGAUCUCCACCUGCCACGGGGAUAAGGCCAGGAGGAUAGGGGAUCAAGGCGAGCAAGUUUGGGUGGUUGAGGAGGUGAGGUAGAGCCUCGGGAUGGGGCUGCUAGGGGAAGGCUGAAGUUUGGCCGUGGGGGCGGUGGGGUGCGAUGUUUAGGCCGGGAGGAGCGCCUUUUAUAGGCGGAGGGAUCCACGUCUCCGGGCUUGCUUGGCGGCCAAGGAGGAGGUGCCCGGCGGUGGCGGGGAUAAGGGCGGGGAUUAAUGGCGGCCGACGUCAAUGGUGGAGGCGAAUGAGGUGCGGCCUCUAUCGGGUGGCAGGGAUAGGAAGGAGGGGGGAUGGCUUGCUUGGAGGCUAAGGCGCGCAGGGGGGCGCAUGGGCGCAGUAAAAACCAGCGCGGCGGCGAGCGGUGGCGUGCGGCGGCGCGGAGGGGAUUCCUUCCCCGUCGGCCGGGGCCGGCGCUAGCUGCAGGGCGAGAGGGCCACGCGGGCCGCGUGUGUGUGGGCCGAGCGAGCCGCGGAGGGUAGCCGGGCUGCGAUGAGCCGACCAACUGGGCCGCGGUGCCUGGAUGUGCGCGUGCGGGUGAGGAGUAGGCUGGGCCGGAAGUGAAGGGGGCCGGAGAAUGGAGGUGUUGGCCUGUUAUCAGUUUGGUUUGAUUUCUUAUUUGUUUUAAGGUAAAUUAAAUCCAAAUUUGAAAUAGAUUCCAAAUUUGAAUUUGGUUUGAGGUGUUGGUAUAAAAUUGAGGCUUUUUCGUAGGAGGUUUGAAAUUAGAUGUUGUUUGAGAAUGACUAAAAUUGAAUAGGGAUUUGGACGAAGUUAAUGUUAGGUUUGAAUAUUAUUUCUAGGGUUGAGAAGAUGGAUGGGAUUAAUAUUCAAAUCGUCUCAGAAUUAUGGGAAGAAUAUAAUGGUAAAAAUUUCCCUAGGGUUUUAAGGUUUUGGAUGGAAACCAAGGGUUUGAAUACUAGGGAAUUUGGCAUAAGGCUGGGAUAGAAUUAAUAUUUGAAUAAAUAGUAUUCCUAGGAUUUAGAAGAAGAGAAUAUUCCUAAGGUUGAUUAUAGGAGAAGGCUAGAGCAAUCAAAUGCAACACAUAUGCUCGUAUUUAUGCAAUGUUUUAUUUGUAAAAAGAGUUUUGAAUGUGUCGGAAAAGAGAAUAAGUUUAGUUUAAAGAAAAUUUAAAAAAUCCGUAUUUUUAAAUGCUCCAAAAGCAUGAUACUAUAGAAGCCAUCCCACUUAAUACAUUAUUAUUCUAUUAAUACAAGUGAACCAUAUCGUAUAAGCAAAUUGGUUGAACCUCACCAUCCAAGAUCACAUGGUGCAUGCAACCAAACACACCCGUAAUCGGGUGGUGUACGAUAUUCUUAUUGCUACCAUAUAUGUACGUGAACACGCACGCAGCAGGUAUCAGCACGUACGUAAGUUAGGCGCACAUUCUUCUUACAUUACGUGCUCCAAUUUGCAAAGUUUGAAGUCUCCAGGUCCACACGCGGCUACUGUUGCGCUGCUAGUACAACCGUAGGAGUAGAAAUACAUGCUCGCGCACGAUACAAUAACACGACCUCAACUCAAAUUAUGAAAUUCAGUUUCCACGAGAGCACGUUCGAUUGGUGGAAAUUUACGCGUGAUCGGUAUGCCGUCCGGCACGUACUCGUAACCCACUAAACUAACUUGAUCGACGCCCGUCCGAUCCGCUAGGGCCGCCAUUGCAAGAACUUAAUUAGGAAAUCAGGACGUACGCGUGGUCACUACAAAUACUUGGUAUGGUCGAUACGCUUGAAGCAGAGCGCACACACGGUUGAGAGCAUCCGCAGCUAGUAGCGAUAUGAUGGCGUUCAAGUCCAUGGCUUCCCAUGCGCUCAUGUUCCUCGCCAUGGCACUCAUGCUCGCGGUUUCUGUCCGGGCGCAGGGGUCGUCACCACCACGAGCGCCCACGCCAGCGCCGCCACGUGGUCCGCCGCCUACACCGUCACGGGCACCACCUUCACGGGCACCACCUUCACGGGCACCACCAGCUCCGAGUAAUCCACCUACGGUAGCACCGACUCCCGCUCCAACCCCUGCACCAACUCCAGCUCCAAUGUCAGCACCCACACGAUCACCACCAGCUCCAACUAAUCCACCCAUGCUAGCACCAGCUCCGACUCCGACUCGUGCACCGACACCAGCUCCGACGCCGGCACCGACUCCUUCUCCCACGCCUGUCCCGACCCCUUCUCCGACGCCAGCACCAACCCCUGCUCCGACACCGGCACGGACUCCUGCUCCCACGCCCGUCCCGACCCCUUCUCCGACGCCAGCACCAACCCCUGCUCCGACACCGGCACCGACUCCUGCUCCCACGCCCGUCCCGACCCUUUCUCCGACGCCAGCACCAACCCCUGCUUCGACACCGGCACCGACUCCUGCUUCAGCACCGGCACCGACUCCUGCUCCCACGCCCGUUCCAACUCCUGCUCCGACACCCAUCCCGACCCCUUCUCCAACGCCAGCACCAACCCCUGCUCCGGCACCGGCACUGACUCCUGCUCCCACACCCGUUCCGACUCCUGCUCCGACACCCGUCCCGACCCCUGCACCCACGCCGGCACCAACCCCUGCUCCGGCACCCACUCCGACUCCUGCUCCUGCUCCGACGCCGGUACCAACCCCUGCACCUACACCAGCAUCGAUAGUUGCUCCUACACAAGCACCAACCCCGACACCGACGCCCUCACCAAUACCUGCUCCGACUCCUGCUCCAACGUCCACAUUGACCCCUACUCCGACACCAGCUCCAGCUCCUGCACCAACCCCUGCACCGGUGCUGCCACCUUCAACGCCCAGACCACCACCACCACCCCAAGCUGUGUGUCCUGCCGGCUUCAGUAACCUAGAAGCGUUUAACUCUGCCGUUCUACCCUAUGCUUUACGCCGCACUAUUCUGCUUUUGGUAUCUAAGCCGAGCAUUGCUCUCUUCCCGCCCACCAUCAAAACAACAUGCCUUUGCUAUUUCUCAACUAGCACCACGAUCGGCAUCAUAACCGUUCCCAGUGUCAGAGGCCCCAUCGAAUGCGUGCCUGCCCGAACUGCUUGAGCAUAUGCAUGCAACGCACUUGCAGCGCAAAUGUGCACAUGUUGCGAAGCCAUUUCCUCAUACUUAUUUCCUAUUGAUCAGGCCACCUACUAUAUCAUACUAGUAUUUGAAUAAGUAGCGUGCAUGAAUGUGCGUCUGCAUGCCGAGAGACUGACUUGUGUGUUGAACCUGCGGUAAACAAAGAGUUGUUGUGUUGCUCGUGUAAUGAGUCAUAUGUAUUUGUAUGUGCAUGUGCUCAAAAUACAAAAUACUAUAUACAUAUUCUUGAAGCAUGCGUGUUAAAUGUUUUAUUAUUAUCGAGGAGUUUCUACUACUUUGUGGAAGUAGGCCUAUAUGGUCGUCUCACAAUUUUUAGAGCUACUACAGACGCAAUUAAAAUAUAUAGUAGUUUUAUAUUGUCUAUAACAUACCAUGCUGACUAAGCAAAAUAUAACAAUUUCAAGGGAAAUAUGUAGCAUGACAUAUCCAUCCAUGUCCCAAUAAAAUAACAUGAUAUAAUCACUUCUCUUCUUUUAAUUAAAACAUUGAAUUAGGGGUAGAGAGUGGAAAUAUUGCAAUAACUAUACAAAC
This 7586-nucleotide long non-coding RNA is filed under the name Setaria viridis. RNAcentral's name for it is "long non-coding RNA (SVIR_LNC002485)". The record is from RNAcentral. Lineage: Eukaryota; Viridiplantae; Streptophyta; Magnoliopsida; Poales; Poaceae.